AUGGCACCCCCUGGGGCCCGGGAAGCGACGGGCUCGGGGACGCGCGCGCUGCAGGUCCAGAACUGGCACGAAGCCUGGGCUCCUGCGACCCCGACCCACUCCAAUUCCCUGCCCCCAACCACAGCCGAGGCGUCCCGGCCCAGGGAGGGUGGCGGGGGCGGAAGGGCGCUAGCGGUAACCAGAGGUGCCGUAAAGAAUUCUCCCCCACUGUGCGGUUCCCAUUUCACAGACAAGACAGUGGAGGCCCUGGGAAGGCUGGGGCUUGCCCACGCUGCCGCGCCUGGGAAGCAAGCCCAGGUCAGUCCCUGCGCGCGGUGUCGCUGGGGGACCUCCGGGACAAGCCGUGACCAAGGCUGGGGCGCGCGUGGAGUUGAUGCUGGCAGUGCCUCUUCUGGCUCCCCCGAGCAUUUCUUCCCCCUUUUCCCGGGAGGGACUGAAACCCUCCCGAGGGCCAGUGCGGAAGCCCCGCCGGCCCUGCGCUCGACAUCCAGGAGCCCCGUCCGCCGGCCCGCCGCUGCAGUUCAGUCCGGGGGUAACAACAGGGAGAAGAAACCGUUAACGCCCCCAACCCCCACUCACACGCACACCCUCGCCUGUGCCCCGGGCCUGCACGGGCACAUCUCAACCCCCUCCCACGCCCCUUCACACUUCUAUUAUUUCUAUUUCUUUGAACAAGAAUCAUUUGCGUCAACCCUUUUUGAAAAUGUUCAAGUUUCACUCCAGUAAGCUUACUAGAAGGAAGGAGGAGGAGAGAGAGGAGGAGGACGAGGAAGAGGAUGAGGAGGAGGACGAGGAGGAGAACGAGGAGGAGGCGGCGGCGACGGCUUUGGCAGCGGCUUUGGCUGCGGCGGCUUUGGCGGCGGCGGCGGCUUUUGAGGAGGCUGCGGCGGCGGCGGCGGUUUUGGCGGCUUUGGCGGCUUUGGUGGCGGCUUUGGCGGUGAAAAUUUAGACAGUCGAAAAAUAGGCGGCGGCCGCGAAAAUUUACACAGUUGAAAAAUAGGCCAAAGCACACUGAACCUGCAGGACAUCCAGUAAUCUUUUCUGCCCAUUUCAAAGUCUUUCCCU
Molecule: long non-coding RNA, 1065 nt
Filed under: Piliocolobus tephrosceles (Ugandan red Colobus)
Lineage: Eukaryota; Metazoa; Chordata; Mammalia; Primates; Cercopithecidae
Description: lncRNA (ENSPTEG00000036874.1)
Source: RNAcentral